GGUGUAGGUGGCUUUUCAAGUCGAGUGUAAAAUCUCCCGGCUCAACUGGGAGGGACCAUUCGAUACUGUUGGGCUAGAGUGCAGCAGAGGAAGGUAGAAUUCCCGGUGUAGUGGUGGAAUGCGUAGAUAUCGGGAGGAAUACCAGUGGCGAAGGCGGCCUUCUGGGCUGUUACUGACGCUGAGACCCAUAAGCGUGGGGAGCAAACA
RNAcentral lists this ribosomal RNA (207 nucleotides) under uncultured bacterium. RNAcentral's name for it is "partial 16S ribosomal RNA". It matches the Rfam family "Bacterial small subunit ribosomal RNA", at positions 568 to 774 of the family's 1533-position model. The record is from RNAcentral.